GUUUAUUUCCUUUAUCUUUUCUACAGUUACUUCAUUUCCAUUCUGGCCAAGUGGUUAAGGCAAUGGACUAGAAAUCAAUAGGGGUCUCCCUUCACAGGUGCAAAUCCUGUCAACUGUGGUGAAAGCUGCACUUUUCUCUCCCCACUUCCAGGCUGUCCUUUUUUUUCUGAGGGUAGGAAGACCCUUCAAGGGGAUCUGGACACACUGGAUCACUGGGCUGAGGCCAAUGGGAUGAAGUUCAACAAGACCAAGUAUAACUUGUUACAACAAUCCCAUGCAAUGCUACAGACUUGGGACAGAGUGGUUGAAAGACUGUGUGGAAGAAAUGGACCUAGGGGUGUUGUUUGAAACUUGGCUGAACAUGAGCCAGCAGUGUGCCCAUGCAACCACAAAGGCCAGUGGCAUCCUGACCUGCAUAAGCUCUCCUCUGGAUGUGCUCCAACAAGCCUAUGUCUCUCCUGUACUGAGGACUCCGUAUCUGGAUUUAGAACUCCAGCUGAGGUCUCACCAGCACAGAGUAGAGGGACAGAAUCAUCUCCCUCAACCUUCUUGUUUUGAUGCAGAGUUUUCAGCACAUAUGUAAAAGUUGCUCAAGCAAACUGACCUAGAAAGAAAAGAGAGUCCAAGGUGGUUACUGGUGUUUCUACUUUGUCCAAGAUGUCAAGAAAAGCUAUGGGAACAAACAAAAUCAGAAGAAAAGUGAAAGUACAAAUCAGAUAUUUAUGUGUAGGUCAUUCAUUGCUUUAUAAAAAUACAAUAAUGUAAAAUUCCUUGAACACUGAUGAUAAGCAUAACUAAUAUGAAUGUGGUUAUUGAUGAUGGAAAAUGAAACAUCCAAUUAUAGUGCUAAACCCAACGGUAUCAUUUCUUUAUGACAGAGAGACUAGAUACUUACUCAUUACUAAACUCUGAGAGAAUUGCUAGGUAAGAUAUGUCCAUUAAUGCAACAAAAUAAAAAAUGGCUCAUGUUUACGGUCAAACAGAAAAACGUAUUAGCUACAUUACAUA
Molecule: long non-coding RNA, 1008 nt
Organism: Gallus gallus (chicken)
Lineage: Eukaryota; Metazoa; Chordata; Aves; Galliformes; Phasianidae
Source: Ensembl